UUUCUGAGCAUAUAAGCAGGGUGACUUUGGGAACAUCUGCCAGCUCGGAAGAUCAGCAGCCCAGGUUCUCCAGUUCCUCCUUUGUGUAACUCCCUGCAGGUGUAUUCACCCUACCCAGCCCUGGCAGGAGCAUUAGCAGCCUUGACCAGUGCCAUAAGCAGGAAGAGUGGAUCUAUCCCCAGCUGAGAGAAGAGACUUGGAGCAAGUAGCUUUUCCUUUCUUGGGGCACAUUUCAGUGCUGUGGAAUUUGGUCUUUCACACACAUGGUGCCAGGAUUGUCAGAAUGAUGGACUGCUUUUAUGGCUUCUUGAUAAACUGUCUAUUACAUGAUUGCUUGUAACUGCAAGUCUUAAGCUUUCACUCCUCACCUGGUUUUAAGUUAAUUGGACACAGGCAGAGUUAAUUAAUAAGUAGACAACUUUUCCUUCCUAAGCACCUCAUGCUGCCCUACAAUGUUAGGACUCAGUAUCCUUCAGAAAGGAACACAGUUCCUCUGAAAUGUCUUUCUUCCUUUCAUUUUCAUAAUAAUCCUGUAGUUUCUGGGUAUACCAUCUGUUGCCCUAAGUGUUGAUUAAAAGCCUUGGCAGACAUGUGAUGAUAGUCAGCAGAUCUUUGUAGCAGCUCUAACACAAGGCAACUGCAGAACAGCAGAACUAAGCAGUAAAAGAUACACCUUCCUUAACAUUCAGGCUCAGCACCUUGGCCUUUCCUCAUCCACUGUCACAACUGGGCUGAAAGAAGGGGCACGCUCAUUUCUGGCAGCAGAGAAGUUUCAGCAGAGGUCUGAUCCAUCACCAAAUGACAAACCUAUUGAUAGCAUCUGCCAGGGCAGAACAUAACCAGAGCAGCAGGUGGGAGAACAGACUGCCAUUGUGGGUUGAGGGUUUUUUCAGUAACUCAAAACUUUUCUCUUUAUGGGGCCUUGACUGACUGUGAUUUCCUGCUUAUCCAUAUAAUAUAAUCUCAAUUUUCUACUUAACAGGCCCUGCCUUGAAGUCAGCCAGACUUCCUGGUGAUUAUUCCAGAGCCUUUCCCUGAAACUGGGAGGGUUAUUUUGUAACCUGAAAUGAAGAGAUGCCUUAAUUUUUCCUUGGAGAUAGAAACAGAGACAUCUAAGACAGUUUGCUGCUAUAUCCUCCCACCCCUCCCCUUUACAUCAAACAGCUCAGGUGUCACUGAGCCUUAGGACCUUUUUCCAUUUGUGUCCAAAUAGCUUAUGAAGAGUGACAUAUUUUAGAACACAGCCUCAGUCUUCCUGGGUGUUUUUUUGCAGUUUAAAUACUGAACAUCAGCCAAAGCCCCCACAACAUCUGGGUACAUGUAACAGAGGGAUCUAACAAAGCCACAUUUAAUUACUCUCUUUGUUUUCACUUCCUUUCCCAUCAGCACUAAUUGCAAAAUGUAUGUGUAAAUUGUGACUUAAUUCUGACCCUCCCAGUUAACAUCUGACUAAUUUAGAAAUCCCUCAUGCCUUCUCAUCAACCCUUGUGUGUGACUGUUAAUCACACAGCAGACAGUUCCUCUGCUGAGCUGUUUGGAUAGGGGUGGGACCCAAUCUGAAGCCUUACACUAGAAUCCCAGAUCACACUGACUUCCUUGGCAGCAGCCCAUUUCACUGAUGCAAGGCUACAGACACAGGAGCUGCACUUGAUGCAAAGAUGCAGUGACAACAGAGACCCGGGUCCCUAAGCUGUGUUACAGCACCAGCUCUCAACACUGCAGAGGCUUUAGAGCAUUUCUGGCAGAAGAAAUAGGUUUUUAGCAGUAAUACAGCAAGAAAAUAUGCUAUUUGAUGAAAGACAGGUAUUACUGAAUGGUAAAAGUGUGUGUGAGAGAGUAUACAAAUGCCAGCAUGAGGAAACUAAGAAGUGCACAUUUGUACUCAAAGCCUUGCUUUGUCUGGCUUCAGACACUUGGGUGUUCACUGAAGUGAGAUGAUGAGAUACAGAUACUUACACGAGGCUCCAGCUUGGGUCACACUUGGGCUGAAACCUGAUGAUCAGCAGGUUCCUGGAUGACACAAAUAGGUGUUGAAGGUGGGAUCUGUUUACCCAUUAGGGGAAAGGGUGAAGUGCCAUGCUUAUGCCAGAGCAUCCAGCCUUCAGCAAGGCAAUUGGAACAGUGCUUGGCAAAUCCCAUCAUUCCCAGAGCCACGGAGCUGUGCUGUGGCAUGGCCAGGCAGCACCCAGGACACUGGUACUCAUCCACCCAGCACAGUGACUCAGGGCAGUGCCCAUCUCCAGGGCCAGGGAACAGGGAUUGCAGCUGCACAUUGCCUCAGCAGAGACAUUUAUUCAGAGCACUCGUGUGGCAAAACAAGCAACUACUUGAAAAGGAAGCAGUUUAAGCAGUUUAACUUACUGUAUUUCCUCUCUCUUUGAUAACUGGACUGGGUGUGCUGACUCAGAAAUCUUUCCAGGGUGAAUUCCUUCUAGCACCUGCUGUAAGGAUAUUUCCUCCUGCACAAGUCUCUCCUUUUUUUCUCCCCACCUCUACAGAGAAUGCUGAGAAGAGACCCACAGAGGUAACAGCCAACUUUCAGUGCAAACAGCUCUCCAGUGCAUUGACCUCUGUGGCCUGAACCUCUUUUGGAGCUCCCAAGCAGCUCAGUCUAACUCCUGCUGUAGGAGCACUCACCUGUAGCCAGUGUCCUCUGCCUUUCUCAGGAGUGAACCCCUGUGCUAAAUCCUGCUUCAUCUCUGCGUUCCCUGGGCACUGGGACAGACUUGCAAACUCUCCAAACAGAUGGGAAGGGUCAUUGCAGCUUAAAAAGAGUCACCAAAAAAGAUUUAGGGACACCAAGUAGAUUCUUCACAUCAUUUUUUUUUUGGCAGUGUGCAGAAACAAAACAGUUGCCUGAAGCCCAAUGCCAAUCCUUUUAUUUUGCAUCUUGUGUGAGCAAUUAGCAGUUAAUGACCAGCAGUGACCAGCAGGGCUCACCCUGUCCCAUCUGGAAAGGGUUUGGGCAGAGGAGUGUGAGGCCAAACCCACAACAGCUGAGCUCUGGUCCCAGGGCAGCAUCACAUGCUAUGUAAGCUGCUUGAGCUGCUGCUCCCUGCCUCAGUAUUUCAGCCAACAAA
Molecule: long non-coding RNA, 3080 nt
Organism: Passer domesticus (house sparrow)
Lineage: Eukaryota; Metazoa; Chordata; Aves; Passeriformes; Passeridae
Exons: 2
Source: RefSeq, a predicted model, not a curated record